This 638-nucleotide long non-coding RNA is filed under the name Homo sapiens (human). Its description in RNAcentral is "PREDICTED lncRNA (TCONS_00182975)". Lineage: Eukaryota; Metazoa; Chordata; Mammalia; Primates; Hominidae. The record is from RNAcentral.
AGCACACGUGAAUGACCUAAAGAUCUUAUACGAAUGCAGAUUUUGAUUCUGGAGGUCUUGGAUGGGCCCGACAGUCUGCAUUUCUAAUAAGCUCCCAGAAAAAUAUCCAACCCGAGCAGGAUAAAACUGAUCAUCCUGAGGAUAUUGCCCUUGGAGUUAAUUUUUUGAGAGAAAUAAAACAAUAAACAUCAUAAGACACAAACCCCAAGCAACUGAUCUCACUGUUAAAAUCCAACCUGAGAACAAUGGAAUGGAUAAUGGUCAUUUCAACUGUCUUUGAGUCUGGAGGUUGCUUUUAACAAACUGAAUUGUAUUGCUGCUGGGCUAGUUAACAUUCAUAUUAGACUUUCAAAACAGUGUGGAGAAAACAGUCAGCUCUUUGAUGGCAUUUAUGAUGGACACACAGCUGGGCUAAUGAAGACAAUAUGUCAAGGCUUGAAGAGCAAUGAUUUUACAGAUUUUUGAGACAUCUAUUUGGGUUUAUAGAGCUGAUUUCCUCUUUGGAGGCUGCAUUCUGAAUUAAUGAUAACCACCUUUAUAGAGAAAACAUUGAAUAUGAAGUGUCCAAGGAAUUUAGGCUAAAGAAGUAAUUCUAGGACUAGUCAGACAAAGAGAAAUACUGUCUGAAAUGACUGAAU